RNAcentral lists this ribosomal RNA (545 nucleotides) under uncultured bacterium. RNAcentral's name for it is "partial 16S ribosomal RNA". It matches the Rfam family "Bacterial small subunit ribosomal RNA", at positions 355 to 893 of the family's 1533-position model. The record is from RNAcentral.
UGGGGAAUUUUGGACAAUGGGGGAAACCCUGAUCCAGCCAUCCCGCGUGUGCGAUGAAGGCCUUCGGGUUGUAAAGCACUUUUGGCAGGAAAGAAACGUCGUGGGUUAAUACCCCGCGAAACUGACGGUACCUGCAGAAUAAGCACCGGCUAACUACGUGCCAGCAGCCGCGGUAAUACGUAGGGUGCAAGCGUUAAUCGGAAUUACUGGGCGUAAAGCGUGCGCAGGCGGUUCGGAAAGAAAGAUGUGAAAUCCCAGAGCUUAACUUUGGAACUGCAUUUUUAACUACCGGGCUAGAGUGUGUCAGAGGGAGGUGGAAUUCCGCGUGUAGCAGUGAAAUGCGUAGAUAUGCGGAGGAACACCGAUGGCGAAGGCAGCCUCCUGGGAUAACACUGACGCUCAUGCACGAAAGCGUGGGGAGCAAACAGGAUUAGAUACCCUGGUAGUCCACGCCCUAAACGAUGUCAACUAGCUGUUGGGGUCUUCGGACCUUGGUAGCGCAGCUAACGCGUGAAGUUGACCGCCUGGGGAGUACGGUCGCAAGA